This 403-nucleotide ribosomal RNA is filed under the name uncultured bacterium. Its description in RNAcentral is "bacterial SSU rRNA". It matches the Rfam family "Bacterial small subunit ribosomal RNA", at positions 356 to 775 of the family's 1533-position model. The record is from RNAcentral.
AGGGAAUAUUGCUUAAUGGGCGAAAGCCUGAAGCAGCAACGCCGCGUGUGUGAAGAAGGCCUUCGGGUUGUAAAACACUUUUUGAGGGGAUGAGGAAGGACAGUACCCCCAGAAUAAGCCUCGGCUAACUACGUGCCAGCAGCCGCGGUAAAACGUAGGAGGCGAGCGUUAUCCGGAUUUACUGGGCGUAAAGCGCGUGCAGGCGGCACGGCAAGUUGGAUGUGAAAGCUCCCGGCUUAACUGGGAGAGGUCGUUCAAAACUGCCGAGCUAGAGUGCGGGAGAGGGAGGUGGAAUUCCGGGUGUAGUGGUGAAAUGCGUAGAUAUCCGGAGGAACACCAGUGGCGAAAACGGCCUCCUGGUCCGCAACUGACGCUCAGACGCGAAAGCUAGGGUAGCAAACGG